Molecule: long non-coding RNA, 871 nt
Filed under: Homo sapiens (human)
Lineage: Eukaryota; Metazoa; Chordata; Mammalia; Primates; Hominidae
Description: non-protein coding GCC2-AS1:3
Source: RNAcentral
CCGAGUUCCCUACAACAAGGAUGGCGGUGACGGGCGCAGGGAGCGGGGCCCGGCUCUCCUUGCCUCGAGGCUCCUCUGAUUCCACUCGCGUGGCUGCGCGGCCCUGGCAGCGGCCUUCGUCCCGGGGGUGGGAGCUACACAGGGUUCCGCCCCGUCCUGGCGAGGACGCCUGAGGGGGCUCUGUGAUAAAGAAAUGGGGGCUCCGAGCAGUCAAGAAGAACAUGCCCCAAGUUAUUCGUCAGUGAGGCGGAAAUUGUGGUGUACUUGUUUUCUGUGGGUCAGGAGAUCAGAAAUGGUUCUAUUUCAAGGACUCUCACAGGGCUGCAAUCAAGAUGUUGGCAUGGCUGGGGUCUCAUCUGAAGGCUGGACUGGAGAAGAAUCUACUUCCAAACUUAUGUGGUAGUUGGAAGAAUUUAGUUCCUCAAGGCCGCUAAACUGAUGGCCUGUGUUCCUUGCCUAUGGGAUGGUAGCUUGCUUCAACAAAGUGUGCAAGCAGAGAAGACAGAGAGUCCGCUAGCAAGAUAGAAGCCACAAUCUCUUGUAAUCUAUCAUUUUUGCUGUAUUCUACUGGUUAAAAAUAACUCAUUAGGUUAGCCUACUGGCUCUCAAGGGGAAGAGAUUAUACAAAGGCAUGAAUUUCUGGAGGAGGGAAUGAGGGCAAAGAAUUCUGAGAAGUCUGUCUUCCACAAUCUGAAGAACUUCUAGAAAGUAGGAGGAAGCGAUAUUGCUUAGGGAUGGACAACUUGGCACUGGUUAUGUAUUUCAAGUGAGGUAACCUUGUUCCCAAGAAUAAAGAGAACCAGACGACUGUAAACAUUUCCCUAAACUGAAAUGCAGACUGUUGUAUGUUCCCCUGAAAUGAAUGGUGUAA